This 403-nucleotide ribosomal RNA is filed under the name uncultured bacterium. Its description in RNAcentral is "bacterial SSU rRNA". It matches the Rfam family "Bacterial small subunit ribosomal RNA", at positions 355 to 775 of the family's 1533-position model. The record is from RNAcentral.
CGGGGAAUAUUGCACAAUGGGCGAAAGCCUGAUGCAGCAACGCCGCGUGAGUGAUGACGGUCUUCGGAUUGUAAAGCUCUGUCUUUGGGGACGAUAAUGACGGUACCCAAGGAGGAAGCCACGGCUAACUACGUGCCAGCAGCCGCGGUAAUACGUAGGUGGCAAGCGUUGUCCGGAUUUACUGGGCGUAAAGGGUGCGUAGGCGGACCUUUAAGUGAGAUGUGAAAUCCCCGAGCUUAACUUGGGGGCUGCAUUUCAAACUGGAGGUCUAGAGUGCAGGAGAGGAGAGUGGAAUUCCUAGUGUAGCGGUGGAAUGCGUAGAGAUUAGGAAGAACACCAGUGGCGAAGGCGACUCUCUGGACUGUAACUGACGCUGAGGCACGAAAGCGUGGGGAGCAGACAG